This 71-nucleotide transfer RNA is filed under the name Podarcis lilfordi (Lilford's wall lizard). RNAcentral describes it as "tRNA.Ala". The stretch from base 7 to 63 matches the Rfam family "tRNA", at positions 8 to 63 of the family's 71-position model. From Rfam's summary of the family: Transfer RNA (tRNA) molecules are approximately 80 nucleotides in length. Their secondary structure includes four short double-helical elements and three loops (D, anti-codon, and T loops). Lineage: Eukaryota; Metazoa; Chordata; Lepidosauria; Squamata; Lacertidae. The record is from RNAcentral.
GGGCCAUAGCUCAGUGGUAGAGCAUCUGCCUUGCAAGCAGGAGGUCCCAGGUUCAAUCCCCAGCAUCUCCA